Molecule: ribosomal RNA, 556 nt
Filed under: Saccharomyces cerevisiae (brewer's yeast)
Lineage: Eukaryota; Fungi; Ascomycota; Saccharomycetes; Saccharomycetales; Saccharomycetaceae
Also listed under: 1 other name
Description: LSU rRNA
Rfam family: Eukaryotic large subunit ribosomal RNA
Source: RNAcentral
UGCCUUAGUAACGGCGAGUGAAGCGGCAAAAGCUCAAAUUUGAAAUCUGGUACCUUCGGUGCCCGAGUUGUAAUUUGGAGAGGGCAACUUUGGGGCCGUUCCUUGUCUAUGUUCCUUGGAACAGGACGUCAUAGAGGGUGAGAAUCCCGUGUGGCGAGGAGUGCGGUUCUUUGUAAAGUGCCUUCGAAGAGUCGAGUUGUUUGGGAAUGCAGCUCUAAGUGGGUGGUAAAUUCCAUCUAAAGCUAAAUAUUGGCGAGAGACCGAUAGCGAACAAGUACAGUGAUGGAAAGAUGAAAAGAACUUUGAAAAGAGAGUGAAAAAGUACGUGAAAUUGUUGAAAGGGAAGGGCAUUUGAUCAGACAUGGUGUUUUGUGCCCUCUGCUCCUUGUGGGUAGGGGAAUCUCGCAUUUCACUGGGCCAGCAUCAGUUUUGGUGGCAGGAUAAAUCCAUAGGAAUGUAGCUUGCCUCGGUAAGUAUUAUAGCCUGUGGGAAUACUGCCAGCUGGGACUGAGGACUGCGACGUAAGUCAAGGAUGCUGGCAUAAUGGUUAUAUGCC